Molecule: ribosomal RNA, 468 nt
Filed under: uncultured bacterium
Lineage: Bacteria
Description: partial 16S ribosomal RNA
Rfam family: Bacterial small subunit ribosomal RNA
Source: RNAcentral
GACGAACGCUGGCGGCGUGCUUAACACAUGCAAGUCGAACGGAAAGGCCCUGCUUUUGUGGGGUGCUCGAGUGGCGAACGGGUGAGUAACACGUGAGUAACCUGCCCUUGACUUUGGGAUAACUUCAGGAAACUGGGGCUAAUACCGGAUAGGAGCUCCUGCUGCAUGGUGGGGGUUGGAAAGUUUCGGCGGUUGGGGAUGGACUCGCGGCUUAUCAGCUUGUUGGUGGGGUAGUGGCUUACCAAGGCUUUGACGGGUAGCCGGCCUGAGAGGGUGACCGGCCACAUUGGGACUGAGAUACGGCCCAGACUCCUACGGGAGGCAGCAGUGGGGAAUAUUGCACAAUGGGCGGAAGCCUAGUGCAGCAACGCCGCGUGCGGGAUGACGGCAUUCGGGUUGUAAACCGCUUUCGCCUGUGACGAAGCGUGAGUGACGGUAAUGGGUAAAGAAGCACCGGCUAACUACGUG